Molecule: non-coding RNA, 2697 nt
Organism: Monodelphis domestica (gray short-tailed opossum)
Lineage: Eukaryota; Metazoa; Chordata; Mammalia; Didelphimorphia; Didelphidae
Source: RefSeq, a predicted model, not a curated record
UAAGGAAAUAUUAGGUUACUAAUUCUAUCUAUACUUUCUCUGAAUUUUUUAUUCUUAACAAUAGACUAUACCCAGUUUUCUUCUCCUUUUUCUUCCUUAUUAUACAUUCUAUGAUGGAGUAGUCCUUUGUCCCAAGGUUUCCAUCAUUUCUAUUUCCUUCUUUUAUGGUAAGAACCUGAUCUAGCAUAGUAAUUCUCCUGUCUCUUCCUCACCUUUUGAAGGAUGAAGUGAUUAUCUUUAAUACAAGAUAUAAAUAUAUUAGUUGCUCUCAGACAUUUCCAGCAGAUAUCUAGAUAAUUGAAAUCCUACAUCACUGGAGAUUUUUUACUUCUUGUGCUAGGGUGUCAUCAACUAAGACUGGUAUGAAUUGUGAGAAUUUAUUUUUCACAUACUGUAUUAAAUCUUAUAUCAGGGUCCUGGAUUAGAAAGGCCCCAAUUCCUAUAUAUUAGAGAAAAUUACUGUAUAUUUGGGAUCUGGGUCAGAGAUUCUAUUUAGUCUACUACUUUUUGCCUUGUAAUCCUGUCACUGAUGUGGUACUGUAGGUAUUAUUAUCCUCUUUUCUUAGGGAACAGCUAGGUUGGCCUGUGUAUAGAGCACAAGAAUCUAGAGUCAGGAAGAUCUGAAUUCAACUCCAAAUGCAGAAAUUUAUUGGCUAUGUGACUAUGGGCAAGUCACAUAACCCUGUUUGCCUCAAUUUCCUCAUUUUAAAAAUGAGCAGGAAAAGGCAAAGGCAAGGUACUCUAGUGUCUUUGCCAACAAAACACUAAAUAUGGUCAUGAAAAAUUGGACACAGAUGAAAAGACUAAACAACAACAACAAAAACCCUUUUUACAAAGGAGGAAACUAUUGUGCUAUAAAGAAUGAUGUACUGGAGGAUUUCUACAUGAAAUGGAAGAACUUCCAUGAACUGAUGCAGAGUGAAAGGAACAGAACCAAGAGAACUUCAUACAUAGAAAGUGAAACACUGUGGAAUUGUCCAAUGUAAUGGCCUUUACUACUAGUAGUAGUGUAAUGAUCCAGGACAAUCCCCAGAGAAAGAACACUAUCCAGUCAAGAGAAAGAUCUAUGGGAGAACACAGAAGAAAAACAUGACUUACCACUUGUUUAUACGGGUAUAUGAUUGUGGGUUUUGGUUUUAAAAGAUUGCUCUAUUGCAAAAAUGAAUAAUGUGGAAAUAGGUACCAAGUGGUAACAUUUCUAUAAUCCAGUGGAAUUUCUUGUUGGUUCUGAGAGAGAGGAGGGAAGAGGGGAGAGAAAGAAAAUGAAUCAUGUAAACAAAGAAAAAUAUUUUUAAAACAUUAAAAAAAAAGCAAAGGAAGAAACUGAAGAUUUAAGAGGUUAAAACAGCUCAUCCACAGGAACACAACUAGAAAGUGUCUAUAGCAGAAUUUAAACUCGAAUCAUUCCUGACUCCAAGGUCAAGAUCUCUGUCUACUCAACUACAUGAAUAAUAGAUAGCAUGUAGGUAGCAAUUUAAGGCAGCUAAGUGGCAAUAGUGGGUUGAGUGCCAGACCUGGAGUCAGGAAGACUCAUCUUCCUGAGUUCAAAUGUGGCAUGAAACAGUGUGUGACCCAGGGCAAGUCACUUAACCCUGUUUGCCUCAGUUUCCUCAUCUGUAAAAUGAGCUGGGGAAAGAAAUGGCAAACUUCUCUAGUAUCUGCCAAGAAAACCCCAAAUAGGGUCAUGAAGAGUUGAGCAUUAACUGGGAAUGAUGUGGGCAAUGCUGAUUGGGAUCUCAUCCAAGGAAUUGUUCGAUGGCUCAAACUGAAUCCAUUUGGGAGGAAACAAGCUUUAUUAUCAGAGAUAUUAUUAUAAAAUCAAAUAUUAUUAUUUAUUAUGGUAACAGAGUGGCUAUAAUCAGUUAAAUAGCCAAUACAGUAACUAAGGUAAGCAAAGGUAAAGGUGAGAAGCAAAAUUAAAGGUAAGAGUAAGAAUAAAGGUGAGUAGAGAUUUUUAAGAAUGCUUUUUUUUUUUUUUAAUCUUGAUUAGUUACUAAGAAAGGGAUCAUCUGUUUGGGUAGUUGUUGCCCUGUGUUUCUAAGGAACUGAAGUCACUUUACCCAAGGUUCACUUUGAUCCCCUUGGCUUUACCCAUGGUUCAUUCUGUUUGCCCACUCAAGGGAGUAAAUGGAAUGCUAACGAUAUGUUAAAUACCCUGGGGCAACUUUAGGUCAAAGUUUGCUCUAUUUUGCACAGACUCUAAGGAAAGCCCUGUGGAAAUUGAGCUUUGUCUACACCUAGUUUCUAUGCGCCUGGGAAACUGAACCACCUGUACUCGCUGUUCAGAGACCCCGACCAAGGACCUAGAUUAUAUAUCUAAAGAUUAAUCUGAGGAGUUUUCUUAAAAUUGUGAAUCUAAGCAACUCAUAUGUCUUAUCUGAAAGGUAGCCCCAUACUAAUUAACUAGUUAUUGUUUUUGUGCUCUUUUGAUUAUUUACAAUUACAUGGCAGGGUUUGUGGAACAUUUUAGCCUACGUCACGAUGACUGAACAACCACAAAGCACUUUGAGAUUUCUGAAGCAUUUCACUCAUGUUAUCUCAUAUGAUCCUCAAGAACCCAUUGAGGAGAGAUUGCAGAGAAGGCAUUGAUCUAGAAAGAGAUCCCUAUACUGGUGAAGGCACAAGUCCAGUGAAACAAAACAAAUAAAAUGAAAUUUUUGACUCCAAGUCAUUCUUGCCAAUAAAUACUUUUCCUCA